RNAcentral lists this transfer RNA (72 nucleotides) under Pangasianodon hypophthalmus (striped catfish). It matches the Rfam family "tRNA". From Rfam's summary of the family: Transfer RNA (tRNA) molecules are approximately 80 nucleotides in length. The record is from Rfam by way of RNAcentral. Lineage: Eukaryota; Metazoa; Chordata; Actinopteri; Siluriformes; Pangasiidae.
UCACUGGAGGACUAGUGGUUAAGCCACAGCGCUCUCACUGCUGUGGCCUGGGUUUGAUUCCUGGCCAGGGAA